Long non-coding RNA from Oncorhynchus tshawytscha (Chinook salmon), 1662 nucleotides. The record is from Ensembl. Lineage: Eukaryota; Metazoa; Chordata; Actinopteri; Salmoniformes; Salmonidae.
GAGAAUAUUGGUUGGUUGCGAGAUACAGAAGAAUAAGAACAUACAGAAGAAGAGAUAAUAUUUCUACAGCUCCACGAGCUCUUUUCGCGGUUGGCAAAAGCAUGGUAUUUGAAGUAAAUUUUAAGUUUUAGCAUCGGGUUUAGAUUUCCUGAAAACUUUUACGAAAGUUGAGUUGCUAUAUGUAUCAAGGGAUGACACAGAGACCUCUGGCUCUGAGCAAGACAGUGAGCCAGAGCUGCCUGGAGAUGUCAUCGAGCACCAGAUAUGCUGUUCCAAAAUGACCCAACUUUAAACUACACAUUUUAGUUAGCAGCUAUAUUUCAAGAUCCAGAGAAGAAGGUCCUGUACAGCUGUGUUUGAAAACAUUUCACAGAACUCAGCUUGGUACUAGGAACAGGCCUUUCAACAGCUGGUAUAAGGACAAUUCAUGGCUUGAAUAUUCUGUAAAUCAAGAUUUGACUUAUUGUUUCUCCUGUAGACAUUUUUCUCUGCUCAAUACACCUGAAUCUGCCUUCACAUCACAGUCAGGUUUUUGUAACUGGAAAAAAAAGGGUCUGUUUAAAGAUUCUGGGUUUAAGCUCCAUUCGAAGGCAGAGCAUCAUAUCAAUGCUAUGUAUGCUUGGAAUCAGCAUAACAGGGCUAUUGACAGCAACUCAUCAAUGUUAGAUGUCAUAAAUGAGGACCGGAAAAGAAAGUGGAGAAAAACUGUACUUACAUUAAAACUAUUGCAGAUGUGCUCCUAUUAACUGCCACUCAAAAUAUGGCACAGAGUUCACCGAGAGUCUAAUGACUCACAACAAGGGACAUUUUUUGACAGUAUUAGAAGAAAUAGCAAAGCAUGACACUCAGAGAAAAGGAUGAAUGCAUGUGGCAAUGCUAAGUACACAAGCCACGAAAUCCAGAACAAAGUUCUUGAGGGCUUAGCUGAGAUGGUACAAAGUGAAGUAAUAAGAGAAUUAAAAGAAAGUGAAGUUUUUAGUGUAAUUGCAGAUGAAACCAAAGAUUUAAAGAAAAAAUAACAAAUGUCUUUAGUUGUGACGUACUGUUACAACGGGGCCAUCCACAAAAGCUUGUUACACUUUCAGUCAGCUGAAAGCUUAGAUGCAGCAGGUCUCACAAAAAUGAAAAUUGAUUGGCUUGAAAAACAUGUUCUGGACUACAGAAAUAAUCUUGUGGGGCAAGGCUACGACAGUGCAUCCAUCAUGAGCGGAAAGUAUUCUGGUGUGUCCGCACGGAUUAAAAACAGUGCAAGAUUUGCAUUUUAUGUGCACUGUAAUGCGCAUUGUUUGAAUUUGGCUCUUGUGGAUGCUGUAAAAUCAGUGCCUGAGGCAGUUAAAGCUUCUGCAGGAGAGCAAAAAAGUUCUAGCUUUGUAUCUGGCUUGUAUGUUCAUCUCAAGUGGCUUGCAGUUCAGAAAGAGCUGUAUCCACAGCAGCAGUCCCUCUGGUCAGGAUUAAAACCUGCACUGGUGACUAGCUAGUAUACUGACAUUCUAAAAUUAUACAUCCAAGGGGUAUCAUGUCACACAGAUUUAAUUUGGUCUUGAUUAGGCCAAUUCCAAAACUUUUCUUUGCUAUUAGUUAACAUAAUAUAUUUUAGCAUAAAUAUGAUACUGUAAGUUUAAUAUCGAUGGGUGACAAAAAGUCAAUUUCUUGAUACCUGGU